RNAcentral lists this ribosomal RNA (272 nucleotides) under uncultured Anoxybacillus sp. Its description in RNAcentral is "partial 16S ribosomal RNA". It matches the Rfam family "Bacterial small subunit ribosomal RNA", at positions 1114 to 1374 of the family's 1533-position model. The record is from RNAcentral. Lineage: Bacteria; Bacillati; Bacillota; Bacilli; Caryophanales; Anoxybacillaceae.
GUUGCUAACAGGUGAAAGUCUGUAGGCACUCUAAGCGAACUGCCGUUGACAAACGGAGGAAGGUGGGGAUGACGUCAAAUCAUCAUGCCCCUUAUGACCUGGGCUACACACGUGCUACAAUGGGCGGUACAAAGGGUCGCGAACCCGCGAGGGGGAGCCAAUCCCAAAAAGCCGCUCUCAGUUCGGAUUGCAGGCUGCAACUCGCCUGCAUGAAGCCGGAAUCGCUAGUAAUCGCGGAUCAGCAUGCCCGCGGUCGAAUACGUUCCGGCCUU